CGCAGAGUAAAGAUUUGUGCGUCAAGUGUUGAUUGUACGGGGAGUUGACAAUCAAACGAAAAACCGCUGGCUCGUAGCCAUUAGUUUGCGGUACAGAUCUUGCAUCCCGCUGCA
RNAcentral lists this non-coding RNA (114 nucleotides) under Clostridiales bacterium. RNAcentral describes it as "THF-I sequence". It matches the Rfam family "THF (Tetrahydrofolate) riboswitch aptamer". Rfam says of the family: THF riboswitch presents a pseudoknot that joins P1-P2 and the loop of P3 and two THF binding. The record is from RNAcentral. Lineage: Bacteria; Bacillati; Bacillota; Clostridia; Eubacteriales.